GUCCACGCCCUAAACGAUGUCAACUGGUUGUUGGGAAUUCACUUUCUCAGUAACGAAGCUAACGCGUGAAGUUGACCGCCUGGGGAGUACGGCCGCAAGGUUGAAACUCAAAAGGAAUUGACGGGGGCCCGCACAAGCGGUGGAGCAUGUGGUUUAAUUCGAAGCAACGCGAAGAACCUUACCUGGCCUUGACAUGCUGAGAACUUUCUAGAGAUAGAUUGGUGCCUUCGGGAACUCAGACACAGGUGCUGCAUGGCUGUCGU
This 263-nucleotide ribosomal RNA is filed under the name uncultured bacterium. Its description in RNAcentral is "partial 16S ribosomal RNA". It matches the Rfam family "Bacterial small subunit ribosomal RNA", at positions 793 to 1055 of the family's 1533-position model. The record is from RNAcentral.